GCGGGUGUGGCGGAAUUGGUAGACGCGCGGGAUUCAAAAUCCCGUAUCUUAAUCGAUGUGUCGGUUCGAGCCCGACCACCCGUACCA
This 87-nucleotide transfer RNA is filed under the name Hoeflea prorocentri. Its description in RNAcentral is "tRNA-Leu". It matches the Rfam family "tRNA". Rfam says of the family: Transfer RNA (tRNA) molecules are approximately 80 nucleotides in length. RNAcentral also lists the same sequence under 1 other name. Lineage: Bacteria; Pseudomonadati; Pseudomonadota; Alphaproteobacteria; Hyphomicrobiales; Rhizobiaceae. The record is from RNAcentral.